AACGAACGCUGGCGGCAGGCCUAACACAUGCAAGUCGAGCGCCCCAGCAAUGGGGAGCGGCAGACGGGUGAGUAACGCGUGGGAACCUUCCCAAUGGUACGGAAUAGCCCAGGGAAACUUGGAGUAAUACCGUAUACGCCCGAAAGGGGAAAGAUUUAUCGCCAUUGGAUGGGCCCGCGUCUGAUUAGCUAGUUGGUGAGGUAACGGCUCACCAAGGCGACGAUCAGUAGCUGGUCUGAGAGGAUGAUCAGCCACACUGGGACUGAGACACGGCCCAGACUCCUACGGGAGGCAGCAGUGGGGAAUAUUGGACAAUGGGCGAAAGCCUGAUCCAGCGAUGCCGCGUGUGUGAAGAAGGCCUGCGGGUUGUAAAGCACUUUCAGUA
Molecule: ribosomal RNA, 385 nt
Filed under: uncultured bacterium
Lineage: Bacteria
Description: bacterial SSU rRNA
Rfam family: Bacterial small subunit ribosomal RNA
Source: RNAcentral